RNAcentral lists this ribosomal RNA (253 nucleotides) under uncultured bacterium. RNAcentral describes it as "partial 16S ribosomal RNA". It matches the Rfam family "Bacterial small subunit ribosomal RNA", at positions 524 to 776 of the family's 1533-position model. The record is from RNAcentral.
UACGGAGGGGGCAAGCGUUAUUCGGAAUUAUUGGGCGUAAAGGGCGCGUAGGCGGCUAGAUGUGUCAAAGGUGAAAUCCCUCGGCUCAACUGAGGAACUGCCUUUGAAACUGUCUGGCUUGAGGCCGGGAGAGGGUAGCGGAAUUCCCAGUGUAGCGGUGAAAUGCGUAGAUAUCGGAAGGAACAUCAGUGGCGAAAGCGGCUUCCUGGACCAGUACCGACGUUCAGGCACGAAAGCGUGGGGAGCAAACAGG